Symphalangus syndactylus (siamang) is the source of this 319-nucleotide long non-coding RNA. RefSeq lists it as uncharacterized. The record is from RefSeq and is a predicted model, not a curated record. NCBI's taxonomy places the organism in Eukaryota, Metazoa, Chordata, Mammalia, Primates, Hylobatidae.
UGGAAGAUACUCAAAAAAUGAUGCGUAGUUGAAUUUCCAAUCAGUUCCCACUGACAAUACAAUUUUAUAGGUAUUUCAUGUGCUGAACAUCCUGAGAGAGAACUUUCCCAAUGAAAGAAAACGAAUGAAACUAUGCCUGCUGUCAUUCCCAACUUCAUACUGGGCCCUGUACUAGGCCUAGAGAGAACCACAGAUUUGGGUGCCCAAAAGAGGCAGCAGCCUGUUCUCCCUGGGGAUGAACUCUCACAUGGCGCCUUGCUCUGGACCCUCAUCCAUUAGCCAUGCCAAGAUUCAAGGAAGAAAGUUACCAUCCAGCAGC